GGCAAAAUGUCAGAAAGAUUAGGUCA
This 26-nucleotide non-coding RNA is filed under the name Homo sapiens (human). The record is from RNAcentral. Lineage: Eukaryota; Metazoa; Chordata; Mammalia; Primates; Hominidae.